This 6081-nucleotide unclassified non-coding RNA is filed under the name Megachile rotundata (alfalfa leafcutting bee). RNAcentral's name for it is "sterile alpha and TIR motif-containing protein 1, transcript variant X5". Lineage: Eukaryota; Metazoa; Arthropoda; Insecta; Hymenoptera; Megachilidae. The record is from RNAcentral.
GCUUGGCAGUCUCUCGUCGCGACUCGCGGAGAUCGAACGCAGUUCGAGUGACAUCGAAACCUCGAGCGGAUCUGCGAGCGGAAAUAGAUCGUUUUCGUGCUGUCGCGAGAUAACGACGAUCGAUUCGAACAGCUUGCUCCAGUGAGUUACAGCGUGACUGUCGCGGAAUCUUUCUUUCGCUGUCUUCGACGCAUUCGCUUGCGUAAUCGAGAUUGUACUGAAUUUACUCGGCAACGAGGAUCGGAAAAUUUUUCAUUCGGAUAUGAAAAUAGUGGUAGUGUGACCUUGCUUCAUAUAAGAGUUACUGGAGAAAAUUGAUUGGAAGCUCGUUGUGCAGCUGGGAUUAUCGAUUCCUUAUCGCUGUUUAACAAUAUAUCGAUAAUAUCGUUAAGAUAUUGUCAAAUAUGUAGGGUACUCAGUGAACUCUAAUUUCAUCGUUGGAUAUUCAUAUUUAUUGUUCAACAUUUAUAUACAUAUUACGUUUUCGACAGAAUUUGUCAUCUAUUAAGACGGUUUCAUAGAAUGGUAUUUUUCGGGAUUUGGAGGUUUGAUGAAUUUGUAAGUGCAGUAUAGGAAUUUGAUUUUGUAUCUGAAAUAUUUCUGAUUUUGAGAAGUGAAGAAUUUAGGUAUACUUUAGUUUGGUAAAUUAGGAUCAAUGUUUAUUAAUAGUGAAAUAUUAAGUAGUCUUUCUCUUGGUCUCUCCUCUAAUUCAUCUUCAAUCCUCCAAUAAGAAAAUCUCAGAUAGACUUCAAAUUCUCUUGGAUCCUAAAUUCUCGUACACAAGUCUCGUUCUCUUAAGAAAUAUUGCCAAAUAUGGUCAACAUGGUCCUCCAAUUUGGACAUCUCAAAAUUUAUUGAAAAUUUGAAAGCAUCCACAAAAAUCGAACAUCAAAAAUUGUGAAUUUAUUGCGUUUACAUCCAAAGAGACCUACGUUGCACCCAAGUGAACAUGAACAUGUGAAAAGUGAACAGAGAAAAUGAUGAAUGAAAUUGGUGACUUAUGGAGGCCGAGAGGAUAAACGUUGUUUAUAGUGGAAGCGAUUAUUUCGAAAGAGUGUGGGUAACACGUGAAGCGAGCUCGAGCCAGCAUUUUCGAUCGUGAUCGUUGCGCAAGAAACGCAGGCUGGCGAACGCUUCCGCGUGGUCGCGAUCGUGUCCGCAUAGAAAUGCAAUCGACAACCGACAGGCGUCUCGAAGCCGGCUAGAACACAGGAGCCACGUGCAUUCCAUGACGACCUCGAUGAUCAUGGUGGCGGUGAUACGUGACUUCCCCGGCCGGAAGCGGACGUUUCGAUUUCCUUCGCGAGACAUCGCCGCGUGAUGCGCGCAACCCAAAAUUGGUUGAUCGAAAAUAAUAACUCGCCUUAUCGGACCCCUCCCUCUACUGCCGCCAAUAUUAUCGACCGAUAACGCCGCCUCUGAUAAAGUUUAAGUGUUUCCACGUAGCUCCGCUCUUUCACUUCUCGGAAUGUUGUUGUUUUUUAGACAGAAUUCUUUUGACUGAUCUUUCUGUAGGUAUAUUUAUUGGGGAGUGAUGGAGUAUUUGUCUAAAUCUCGAACCUUUUUACUGAUCUUAGUGAAACCUGAUUACUGAUCGUGGACCAUAUGUGUUCGUAUGUGAAGACAUUCGUGAUGUCACAGGUGAAUCAUCUCGUGAGCCAAUCUUUUGAAGCACGAACAUAAUAGAAAUAUUUUUGACAGCUCAGUUGGAAACCUUCAAGAGUUUCGACUCGGAAUUCGAAUAGAAUUAUUACAGAGUUGAAAGGCAUCUUUCUACACUUUGAGAUCGUUAGCACUUUCUCCUCUGGAAGGAUUUUCUCUGUCCAGCAUAAGCUUACCCACGGUUUAUCCUUCCAAAACUUUGAACCAUUUUCGAACGGUCUUUCGUAGAACGUCGGAAACAAACGGUGAAACGUUUAUGCGACCCGACAGAAUUCCUUUGCGAGGAAAACAUACUCCGUGUUUGAACAGCUGUUAGGAGGGUGGUUAUGUUGCCGAAGACCGUAGAUAACGAUUCUCGCAAUCUGUCGAACGGUAACAAAGCUGUUUGUGUUGGUCCUUUCGCAAAAUUCUUAUCGUGCAUCAGUUUUAAGUGCAUUUGUGGGUUUUUCUUGGUAGUUCUCUUUUGUCGUAAACCUUGACCAUUUUAACGCGGGUUGCCACGUGAAAAGAAAGUUUCAAGAAGCCACGUAUAUUAGUACCUCUACCUAUAAUGCACAUUUUGUGUCAUUUCGAUGAUAGCAAUUUAGACAUUUCCUCAAUCUGUUCGAUACAGAUAUUAUUCAGCAAUCACAUUGCAAAGUAAUACGUCUCGACUGUUCCUUUUUCGCGUGUACAUUGUAGUAUCUGGGAUUUCGUUUGCACAGAUAAUGUAAAUGUUACUGACUCAGCGAUAUUUUGAAUGUUACAUAACAUUUAAAUAAAACGAGUGUCAGACAGCGAAAGAUAGAUUCAUUUACGAAGUCAAUUUAUAAAAUAUUCACGAAUGUUAAUACAAAAAUUACAGUGCCCAAUGAUUUUGUGAUAUUGAGUCUCAUUUGGAUAUUUGGAGUCAGAAAGCAGUGUUAUCGAUCGGUCAUCGAUCAAAUUGUUACCCGUGAUUGGUGUGAAUCGAUAAAGAUUUAUGAAUGAGCGUCGACAGAGGUCUGAACAUGCUGCACAAGCAUGGAAGCAACAAAACGAAGAGUAGCAUGCUACACAGAGGCAGGGACGCCUUUCUGAAAUCCAUGUCCGAGUUCCCAGUGGAGGGAGGGGACAACGGUGACAUGCACACUGUCAUGGAGAACUUCCAGAAGAAAAACAAUCUGGUGACAGGCAGGAGCCAUGUCAGCCACCACCCUCAGGUCACUUCCUCGUCACAGAUGCUGACGACGAACCAGAGCCAGAGCAGCAGUAGCUCGAGCAGGGUAGCCAAAUCCUCACAGAGGAUUCUUACCUCGUCCUCGUCGAGUGAGAUGAAAGCUAGCUCCAUGAAGAGCGACCUAAGGGAACUUCAACGUGGCAUUUCUGAAAUGAAGAAUAACAUAUCGACUAACUUCUCGCAACGAUUACGCAGCAGUAUGGAGAACCUCGUAGACAGGGACGGAAACGGAGCCGAGGAAGGCGAUUUGACGGAGCCGUUGGUGACGUUUCCAGAUCCAGACACGCCGCCCCCUGUCACGGGAGCUGUCACACUGCCGGGUGGAUCACCCUCGCAGCUCACCACAUUGAAUUCGCUCAACAAUCUUCACAACAUGAGCCCACCGAUCAGUAUGUCGAACAUUUCGAACAUGACGAAUUUACCUGCUGGACAGGAGACGAUGAAGUUCGAGCAGAAGAAAAUGACCAGCGCCUCCAAAACGAAGGUUGUCACAGACGGUUUCAGCGCCGAAAAGGCGACUGCAAAUAGCGCCGAGAUGAGAGCUUUACAAGCUGGUGACGUAUCCUACAAGGAACAGAGCGCCGCGACGGCGGCCAGGGCACGCGUCGAACUUGAUGGCGUCUCGGCUGAGAAGAGCGUCGCCGCGGCAAGGGAACAGAGAAGCUUGAAAGCUGGCGACUUGUCGCACCAAGAAAGCAACAACAUGGCAGCAUCCACGAUGAAGCUGCAAAGUGACUCCUUCAGCUCAGAAAAGAAAGCCAUGGCGGCACAGCAGCAAAGACAAACGGUCACCUCGACCGGCAUCUUCAACCAAGAGAAGCACAUGUUGACCACCAGCUCGCAGUCGAGCAUCACGAUAGCCUCAAACGGAGUGGCCUCAAAGUCCUCGAUGAUCAGCGCAGCGAAUGCAGUGAAUCAGUUAAUGAACGGCAUGAGGCCAGCCGAAGACGAGCUACUCGCUUUACCCUUGGACGAUCUCGAUCUCCUCUGUUCAAAGUCGAAUCCUCAGGACGUCGAUCGCGCCAUCGCCAAGUACUCCAACUUCUUGGACAGCUUCGUGGAGCGUCUGAAGGCGAACGACGGGAAGAACGGCAAGGCUCCGUUGCUUCUGAACAGAGUGAACGAGAUAAUCAGAAAAGCCUGGGCUGUACCGACUCAUGGACACGAGUUGGGUUACACCUUGUGCAAUACCUUGAGGACGAGAGGAGGCCUUGAUCUCCUCAUGUCUAAUUGUGUGGCCAGCGACCAGGAUCUGCAGUUCUCCUCGGCCAGGUUGCUGGAACAAUGUCUGACCACCGAGAACAGAGCGCACGUGGUGGAACACGGGCUCGAGAAAGUGGUGAACGUUGCGUGCGUCUGUACGAAGAACGCCAACUCGGUGGACCACUCCAGAGUGGGCACCGGUAUCUUGGAACACCUGUUCAAGCACAGCGAAGGGACCUGCAGCGACGUGAUCAGGCUAGGUGGUCUGGACGCCGUGCUGUUCGAGUGCAGGAAGAACGACGUCGAGACGUUGAGACACUGUGCAGGUGCUUUGGCUAAUUUAUCCUUGUACGGUGGUGCGGAGAACCAGGAGGCCAUGAUCAAGAGAAAAGUGCCCAUGUGGCUGUUCCCUCUGGCGUUCCACAACGACGACAAUAUCAAAUACUAUGCCUGCCUGGCCAUCGCUGUACUGGUAGCCAACAAAGAAAUAGAAGCCGCGGUGCUGAAAUCGGGCACCUUAGACCUGGUCGAGCCAUUUGUCACCUCGCACAAUCCUUACGAGUUCGCUAAAUCCAACCUGGCACACGCUCACGGUCAAAGCAAGAACUGGCUGGAGAGGCUGGUACCCGUGUUGAGCUCGAAGCGAGAGGAAGCCAGGAACCUGGCCGCCUUCCACUUCUGCAUGGAAGCGGGUAUUAAAAAGCAACAGGGUAACACGGAAAUAUUCCGCGCCAUUGGAGCGAUUGAACCUCUGAAGAAAGUCGCCAGUUGUCCCAACGCCAUCGCCUCCAAGUACGCGGCACAAGCUCUGCGGCUGAUCGGUGAGGAGAUCCCGCACAAACUCAGUCAGCAAGUUCCUCUCUGGUCGACGGAGGAUGUCCGGGAAUGGGUGAAGCAAAUCGGGUUCGCGGAAUGCGCGCAGAACUUCGUGGAGAGCAGGGUGGAUGGUGAUCUCCUGCUGCAACUGACCGAGGAGAAUCUCAAGGAAGAUAUAGGACUCACGAACGGUAUCAGAAGGAGACGGUUCACCAGAGAGUUACAGAACCUGAAGAAAAUGGCAGACUACAGCAGUCGAGACACGGGUAACCUGAACAGCUUCCUGCAGUCGAUUGGUCAGGAGUUCUCCAUCUACACGUACAGUAUGCUCAACGCUGGCGUUGACAAGGACUCGAUCAGAAAUCUGUCGGAAGAUCAGCUUCAGACAGAGUGCGGGAUCACAAACAGUAUUCACCGGUUAAGGAUACUGGACGCCAUCAAGAACAUGCAACACAAUCAGUUGGGCUCGUGCGAAGACGAGUCGCCCGACAAAUCCUUGGAUGUGUUCGUUAGUUAUAGGAGAUCGAACGGAUCUCAAUUGGCCAGUUUAUUGAAGGUCCAUUUGCAAUUACGUGGUUUCUCUGUGUUCAUCGACGUCGAGAGGCUAGAAGCUGGGAAAUUUGACAAUAACCUACUGCAGAGCAUCAGACAAGCGAAACACUUCCUCCUUGUGCUCACGCCCAAGGCUUUGGAAAGGUGUAUACAAGACACUGAGUGCAAGGACUGGGUUCAUAGGGAGAUUGUAGCAGCUCUACAGUCGCAGUGUAACAUAAUACCCAUUAUAGACAACUUCCAGUGGCCAGAGCCUGAAGAACUCCCUGAAGACAUGCGAGCAGUAUGUCAUUUCAACGGUGUACGGUGGAUCCAUGACUACCAGGACGCAUGCGUAGACAAGCUUGAAAGGUUUAUGCGAGGCGAGAUACCAGUCAGAUCAGAUAUUCCAAGGAGUAUCGCGCCCAAAGAUGUGACCCAACCGAACACGCCGGGUAACACAAACAUUCGACAACCACCCAAUUACCAACGUAUGCACAGUAACGAAAGUAGGGGUAGCGACAAGGAUUCAACAGGUGGGCGAGAUUGACUAGAAGGCCCGCCCACAGCCAUACCGAGCAGCCAGGAUUAACAAUCACGCUAAAGACAAUCGAUCAUGACUAGGCUUAGAAAAUCGUCGAGUCCGUCCCGUUGGUUAAUGGGUUUACCGC